RNAcentral lists this ribosomal RNA (413 nucleotides) under bacterium enrichment culture clone ALO1_GLFRUDD03G1YXS. Its description in RNAcentral is "bacterial SSU rRNA". It matches the Rfam family "Bacterial small subunit ribosomal RNA", at positions 9 to 424 of the family's 1533-position model. The record is from RNAcentral.
GAGUUUGAUCGUGGCUCAGAUUGAACGCUGGCGGCAUGCCUUACACAUGCAAGUCGAACGGCAGCACGGGAGCUUGCUCCUGGUGGCGAGUGGCGAACGGGUGAGUAAUGCAUCGGAACGUAUCCUGGAGUGGGGGAUAACGUAGCGAAAGUUACGCUAAUACCGCAUAUUCUGUGAGCAGGAAAGCGGGGGACCUUCGGGCCUCGCGCUCCUGGAGCGGCCGAUGUCGGAUUAGCUAGUUGGUGAGGUAAAGGCUCACCAAGGCGACGAUCCGUAGCAGGUCUGAGAGGAUGAUCUGCCACACUGGAACUGAGACACGGUCCAGACUCCUACGGGAGGCAGCAGUGGGAAUUUGGACAAUGGGGGCAACCCUGAUCCAGCCAUGCCGCGUGAGUGAAGAAGGACCUCGGUUG